UACGGAGGGUGCAAGCGUUAUCCAGAUUUACUGGGUUUAAAGGGUGCGUAGGUGGGUUGGUAAGUCAGUGGUGAAAUACUUUCGCUUAACGAAGGAACUGCCAUUGAUACUACCAGUCUUGAAUACAGUGGAGGUAGGCGGAAUGCGUCAUGUAGCGGUGAAAUGCUUAGAUAUGACGCAGAACACCAAUUGCGAAGGCAGCUUGCUACACUGUUAUUGACACUGAGGCACGAAAGCGUGGGGAUCAAACAGG
Molecule: ribosomal RNA, 253 nt
Filed under: uncultured bacterium
Lineage: Bacteria
Description: partial 16S ribosomal RNA
Rfam family: Bacterial small subunit ribosomal RNA
Source: RNAcentral